UACAGAGGUCUCAAGCGUUGUUCGGAUUCAUUGGGCGUAAAGGGUGCGUAGGUGGCGAUGCAAGUCUGGUGUGAAAUCUCAGGGCUUAACCUUGAAAAUGCACCGGAUACUGCGUUGCUUGAGGAUUGUAGAGGAGAGUGGAAUUCACAGUGUAGCAGUGAAAUGCGUAGAUAUCGUGAGGAAGACCAGUUGCGAAGGCGACUCUCUGGGCAACUCCUGACACUGAGGCACGAAGGCUAGGGGAGCAAACGGGAUUAGAACU
Molecule: ribosomal RNA, 262 nt
Filed under: uncultured bacterium
Lineage: Bacteria
Description: partial 16S ribosomal RNA
Rfam family: Bacterial small subunit ribosomal RNA
Source: RNAcentral